Molecule: ribosomal RNA, 683 nt
Filed under: uncultured Bacteroidales bacterium
Lineage: Bacteria; Pseudomonadati; Bacteroidota; Bacteroidia; Bacteroidales
Description: bacterial SSU rRNA
Rfam family: Bacterial small subunit ribosomal RNA
Source: RNAcentral
ACACAUGCAAGUCGAGGGGCAGCAUCUCAGUUUGCUUGCAAACUGGAGAUGGCGACCGGCGCACGGGUGAGUAACACGUAUCCAACCUGCCGAUAACUCGGGGAUAGCCUUUCGAAAGAAAGAUUAAUACCCGAUGGUAUAAUCAGACCGCAUGGUCUUGUUAUUAAAGAAUUUCGGUUAUCGAUGGGGAUGCGUUCCAUUAGGCAGUUGGUGAGGUAACGGCUCACCAAACCUUCGAUGGAUAGGGGUUCUGAGAGGAAGGUCCCCCACAUUGGAACUGAGACACGGUCCAAACUCCUACGGGAGGCAGCAGUGAGGAAUAUUGGUCAAUGGGCGCAGGCCUGAACCAGCCAAGUAGCGUGAAGGAUGACUGCCCUAUGGGUUGUAAACUUCUUUUAUAUGGGAAUAAAGUUUUCCACGUGUGGAAUUUUGUAUGUACCAUAUGAAUAAGGAUCGGCUAACUCCGUGCCAGCAGCCGCGGUAAUACGGAGGAUCCGAGCGUUAUCCGGAUUUAUUGGGUUUAAAGGGAGCGUAGGUGGACAGUUAAGUCAGUUGUGAAAGUUUGCGGCUCAACCGUAAAAUUGCAGUUGAUACUGGCUGUCUUGAGUACAGUAGAGGUGGGCGGAAUUCGUGGUGUAGCGGUGAAAUGCUUAGAUAUCACGAAGAACUCCGAUUGCGAAGGC